UGAUGUGAGGGUGAUCUGGCUACAACAUCUGUCACCCCAUUGAUCGCCAGGGUUGAUUCUGCUGAUCUAGCUGGCUAGGCGGGUGUCCCCUUCCUCCCUCACUGUUCCAUGUGCAUCCCUGCCAAAGCCACACGUGGGAGGUCAGAGCGGACGACCUUCCCUGAUAGAGUAGAGGACCGUUCUUUGGUCACGGGUAUACGCAUAGCUACGCUCCCCUGCUAGACCCUCCAGAUAAGCUCUCAAGGUCCAUUUGUAGGAGAAUGUAAGGUAGUCAAGUUUCCAAGACUCCAGACACAUCCAAAUGAGGUGCUGCAUGUGGCAGUCUCUUU
Molecule: unclassified non-coding RNA, 329 nt
Organism: Myotis lucifugus (little brown bat)
Lineage: Eukaryota; Metazoa; Chordata; Mammalia; Chiroptera; Vespertilionidae
Gene: 7SK
Rfam family: 7SK RNA
About the family: 7SK was discovered as an abundant small nuclear RNA in the mid-70s but a possible function has only recently been suggested. Two independent studies have found that 7SK RNA binds the CDK9/cyclin T complex (known as elongation factor P-TEFb). P-TEFb activates transcription by phosphorylating the C-terminal domain of RNA polymerase II.
Source: Ensembl